RNAcentral lists this ribosomal RNA (200 nucleotides) under uncultured bacterium. RNAcentral describes it as "partial 16S ribosomal RNA". It matches the Rfam family "Bacterial small subunit ribosomal RNA", at positions 28 to 220 of the family's 1533-position model. The record is from RNAcentral.
GACGAACGCUGGCGGCAUGCCUAAUACAUGCAAGUCGAACGCUUGGGUUUCCUUCGGGAACCCCAAGAGUGGCGGACGGGUGAGUAACACGUAGGCAACCUGCCUGUAAGUCGGGGAUAACUCACGGAAACGUGAGCUAAGACCGGAUGGUCGAGAGGAAGGCAUCUUCUUCUUGGGAAAGACGGAGCAAUCUGUCGCUU